Molecule: ribosomal RNA, 492 nt
Filed under: uncultured bacterium
Lineage: Bacteria
Description: partial 16S ribosomal RNA
Rfam family: Bacterial small subunit ribosomal RNA
Source: RNAcentral
AGUGAACGCUGGCGGUAGGCCUAACACAUGCAAGUCGAACGGCAGCACAGUAAGAGCUUGCUCUUACGGGUGGCGAGUGGCGGACGGGUGAGGAAUACAUCGGAAUCUACUUUUUCGUGGGGGAUAACGUAGGGGAACUUACGCUAAUACCGCAUACGACCUACGGGUGAAAGCAGGGGAUCUUCGGGCCUUGCGCGAUUGAAUGAGCCGAUGUCGGAUUAGCUAGUUGGCGGGGUAAAGGCCCACCAAGGCGACGAUCCGUAGCUGGUCUGAGAGGAUGAUCAGCCACACUGGAACUGAGACACGGUCCAGACUCCUACGGGAGGCAGCAGUGGGGAAUAUUGGACAAUGGGCGCAAGCCUGAUCCAGCCAUACCGCGUGGGUGAAGAAGGCCUUCGGGUUGUAAAGCCCUUUUGUUGGGAAAGAAAAGCAGCAGGUUAAUACCCCGCUGUUCUGACGGUACCCAAAGAAUAAGCACCGGCUAACUUCGUG